RNAcentral lists this transfer RNA (35 nucleotides) under Crotaphytus collaris. RNAcentral describes it as "partial tRNA-Asx". The record is from RNAcentral. Lineage: Eukaryota; Metazoa; Chordata; Lepidosauria; Squamata; Crotaphytidae.
CUAGAUAGGAGGGCCUUGAUCCCACGAAAAUUUAG